AAUGCCCUGUGAAGACGGGAGCCGCACUGCCGGAAACCAGGAGGCCUAGAACAGAUCCCCUCCUGGGACCUCAGAGGGAGCACAACCCUACCGAUGCCUCAGUCCAGACCCGCAGCCUCCGGAGCUGUGGGACACGCCCUGCCUGCUGGACUCUCACUUCAUCAUAGAGUUAUGGACGGUUACUCACAAGACGGCUGUGUCCUCUCUGCGGUUCACACCGAACACCAAAGGAAUGUAGCAGGCACCUACAGUGGCUCCCAGCUCAACUGGUGUGAACGUCUUCUAUCCGGAAGCGUGAGUCCGAGCGUGGCAGUUGUGUGGUGGAACAGGUUUUCUCAAAAGCUGCUUGUUAUCAUCAAAGUCCCUUCAUGUCUCCCAAGACGACAUGACCCGAUACGCAGCCCAGCAGCCUAUUAAUGGGGUUCUUCACACAGA
Molecule: long non-coding RNA, 435 nt
Organism: Suricata suricatta (meerkat)
Lineage: Eukaryota; Metazoa; Chordata; Mammalia; Carnivora; Herpestidae
Exons: 3
Source: RefSeq, a predicted model, not a curated record